RNAcentral lists this ribosomal RNA (433 nucleotides) under uncultured bacterium. Its description in RNAcentral is "partial 16S ribosomal RNA". It matches the Rfam family "Bacterial small subunit ribosomal RNA", at positions 29 to 507 of the family's 1533-position model. The record is from RNAcentral.
AACGAACGCUGGCGGCAUGCCUAAUACAUGCAAGUCGAACGAGAACUUCGGGACUUGUGGCGUAUGGGUGUGUAACGCGUGGGAACCUGCCCUUAGGUUUGGAAUAACUCUCCGACAGGGGUGCUAAUACCGGACAAUGUCUUCGGACCAAAGAUUUAUCGACCUUGGAUGGGCCCGCGUUGGAUUAGCUAGUUGGUAGGGUAAAAGCCUACCAAGGCGAGGAUCCAUAGAUGGUCUGAGAGGAUGAUCAGCGACACUGGGAGUGGGACACGGCCCAGACUCCUACGCGAGGCAGGAGUGGGUAAUGUAGCACAGUGGGGGGAGGCCUGAUGGAGCAAUGCCCGGUAAGUGAUGAAAGCCUGAGAGUUGUAAAGCUCUUUUACCCGGGAAGGUAAUGACAGUACCUAAAGAGAAAGCUCCGGCUAACUCCGUG